UCAUUAUCUACCAUAAUAAUUGUUUAAGUUCCUCGAGAUAUCAUAUGAAAACUAGGUAUUAGUAUGUUGUCGGACAGACCAAUACAAAUAAUGUAUGUGUAAUUUUAAUGCUCUAUAGUUAUCUAGCUUGCCGGCUACCGCAGUAAAACAUUUUUCCCGGCAGCAAGGCAAGGGGAGGUGUUGCAGGAAGCAGCCAUCAUUCCAUCAGUAGACAGCGGAUACUAUAAAUCGUAUUUACAGAGUAUAGUUGUUAAAACAUUGAUUAUAACAAAGUCCGCCGUCAUCCGCUCAGGAUUUAUAUCGUUCCUCCUGAUGAAGAACAUUUCCUCCCCAUCUGAGGCCUCACUCUCCAUUACAAGUCACCGCCGCGCCGGGACCAGCAAGGAUCAUCAGAUCAGAGGAGUAAACUAGUCAUCCCAGAGUGGCUAUCAGUUGGGUGCCUGGAAGCCUCCAUGCAGACUUUCCCUGGUUAAAGGAUGGAGCUGAGAAAUAAAAGGCUGUUUCUGCUCCUUCAAAACUUCAGCUCUGGGAGACAUCCUGACACACAUGCAGGAGGUUCUUGACACUGGCCUUUAGUAUCAAGAAAAACUGGGCCCACCAUCGUCUUUCUGAGAAAAUUCAGCAUUACAUAAGCAUGAGUCUGCAACAGUAAUGUAAAAAAUACAUAUGAAAAUGAGGGCUAAAUAAACUCAGACAUUUUCUUAUGCUUAUUUUCCCUCAACUCCUUAGUACUCAACUAUUUUUCAUCGUAGGAUUUUCAGGCAUGUAUACACAACCUACACAGUUCCCUGAUUAUAUUGGUAUAGAAUACAUUUCAAUGUAAAAAUAUCUAGAGGGUCAAAAUUGCUUCGGAACAUAGUCUGUGUCACGAAAGAGUUCAUUUGCCUCGGGAUUUGUUUACCAGCCUCAGAGCCCAUACCCGAUGCUCCUACACAGCAGCAGUAGGGAGCUAUUCCAGUUUGUCCUGCCUAGAUAUGUGUAUUAAACUUCUAUAGGCUGUUUUUUUCUGAGUUUCCUGUGUGUCAGCAAUAUAUUCUGUGGUUAUAAUGAU
Molecule: long non-coding RNA, 1051 nt
Organism: Eriocheir sinensis (Chinese mitten crab)
Lineage: Eukaryota; Metazoa; Arthropoda; Malacostraca; Decapoda; Varunidae
Exons: 3
Source: RefSeq, a predicted model, not a curated record